This is a long non-coding RNA of Magnolia sinica, 1189 nucleotides long. RefSeq lists it as uncharacterized. Lineage: Eukaryota; Viridiplantae; Streptophyta; Magnoliopsida; Magnoliales; Magnoliaceae. The record is from RefSeq and is a predicted model, not a curated record. The transcript is spliced from 2 exons.
GUACCUGUUAUUUACAAGACAGGAGUUCGUUUUGCCUCAAUCGCAACUGAGGAGCCUGCGUGUGUCGCCACCACCUACUGAGAUGGUCCUGUGAUUUGAUCUCUCCACACCAUUGUCCAACAAUCACUUUUUUUUUUUUUAAUGAUCAUAAGCUUUGUUUUUCAUAGUUAAAUGCGAGUCACUGAAAAUCUUCAUUUCAAUGUUUUUUAAUUAUCUAAAUAUUGUGAUACGUUAGAUCAUCCGUUAUUCGUAAUUUUCUGUCAUUGUAUCUUACAGAAUAUAUUCCGCAUCAUGGACGGUUUUGAUCAUAGUAAAAGUUAUCUUGUAGGUCCCAGUGAACAGCGACAGAUGCUGUAUUCUCAGUCGCGACAGAGGCAACACGAACUAUACAGGAUACGGUUUACUCCCCUGAAAAAAGCUUUGGUACACUGGUAGAGUACGAUUAUUGAUACGCAUGCAGGCAGAUGUUCUGCACGUGGCUUUAUGCCACUCAAAUUAAUCCGCCCAAAUAAUGGGGCCCACCAUAGAUGGGAUAUAAAUAACCAAUGAAUAUUCGUAGCUGGCUAAUUGGAGUAAAUACAAUGGACUGCAACAAUUAAAAGUAGUCAGUUGAAAUUUUCAUUCAUAUGAGAUAAGGAUCAUCUAGAGGAGUCUGAUUUUGAGUCUACGGCUCGCCUACUUCCCCCAUUUGGGUGCUUUAAUUCGAAUACAUGCAUGCGAAGCGUACUUUCUACGUGUGAAUGCAUUUCGAGGCAAAUCCUCUUUUCCACCGCUUUUCUAAGGAGGAAUGACAUGGGUCAUCGGGACCGCUAAUCAAGUAAUCUGCACUUUGAGCAUGCCGAAGAUAAAAAGAUCAGACCGUUCCACUAUUCAGUGGGGAGAUAGCUCUACCAUAUUACGGUUCCACAGGUUCUACCGUAUCAUCUAAUGGCUGUCAAAGGAUGCGUUUGAAAAACGUCGGAAAAGGACAACGAGGAAAAGAAUAAAGAGUUCGGUUUGCCUCUUUCGCGACAGAAGAACCAGCGUAUGUCGUCAUCCAGUGGGGCCAAAAUGCUGAGAUGGUCCCUUGAUUUGAAGCGUUCAUAUACUCGUUAAUACUGUAAAGAAGCUAUUUUACUAUAAUAAUUCUUCAUAUAUAUGAUGCUAACCUUUGAUUUUUAAAUUUGAAUGGGAGCCACUGGAGACUUUC